RNAcentral lists this ribosomal RNA (408 nucleotides) under uncultured archaeon. Its description in RNAcentral is "bacterial SSU rRNA". It matches the Rfam family "Archaeal small subunit ribosomal RNA", at positions 69 to 462 of the family's 1478-position model. The record is from RNAcentral.
UGCGGGGGCGCGGCGAACGGCUGAGUAACACGUGGCUAACCUACCCUCGGGACGGGGAUAACCCCGGGAAACUGGGGCUAAUCCCCGAUAGGCGAGGGGGCCUGGAACGGUCCCUCGCCGAAAGGGUGUACGGGGCAUCCUCCCGUACGCCGCCCGAGGAUGGGGCUGCGGCCCAUCAGGUAGUUGGCGGGGUAACGGCCCGCCAAGCCGAUAACGGGUAGGGGCCGUGAGAGCGGGAGCCCCCAGAUGGGCACUGAGACAAGGGCCCAGGCCCUAUGGGGCGCACCAGGCGCGAAACCUCCGCAAUGCGGGAAACCGUGACGGGGUCACCCCGAGUGCCCCCUUAUGGGGGCUUUUCCCCGCUGUAAGAAGGCGGGGGAAUAAGCGGGGGGCAAGUCUGGUGUCANC